UACGAAGGGGGCUAGCGUUGCUCGGAAUCACUGGGCGUAAAGCGCACGUAGGCGGCUUUCUAAGUCAGGGGUGAAAUCCUGGAGCUCAACUCCAGAACUGCCUUUGAUACUGGAGAGCUUGAGUCCGGAAGAGGUGAGUGGAACUCCGAGUGUAGAGGUGAAAUUCGUAGAUAUUCGGAAGAACACCAGUGGCGAAGGCGGCUCACUGGCCCGAUACUGACGCUGAGGCACGAAAGCGCGGGGAGCAAACAGG
Molecule: ribosomal RNA, 253 nt
Filed under: uncultured bacterium
Lineage: Bacteria
Description: partial 16S ribosomal RNA
Rfam family: Bacterial small subunit ribosomal RNA
Source: RNAcentral